RNAcentral lists this ribosomal RNA (504 nucleotides) under uncultured bacterium. RNAcentral describes it as "partial 16S ribosomal RNA". It matches the Rfam family "Bacterial small subunit ribosomal RNA", at positions 29 to 523 of the family's 1533-position model. The record is from RNAcentral.
AUUGAACGCUGGCGGCAGGCCUAACACAUGCAAGUCGAACGGUAGCACAGAGAGCUUGCUCUCGGGUGACGAGUGGCGGACGGGUGAGUAACGUCUGGGAAACUGCCCGAUGGAGGGGGAUAACUACUGGAAACGGUAGCUAAUACCGCAUAACGUCGCAAGACCAAAGUGGGGGACCUUCGGGCCUCACACCAUCGGAUGUGCCCAGAUGGGAUUAGCUAGUAGGUGGGGUAAUGGCUCACCUAGGCGACGAUCCCUAGCUGGUCUGAGAGGAUGACCAGGCACACUGGAACUGAGACACGGUCCAGACUCGUGCGGGAGGCAGCAGUGGGGAAUAUUGCACAAUGGGCGCAAGCCUGAUGCAGCAAUGCCGCGUGUAUGAAGAAGGCCUUCGGGUUGUAAAGUACUUUCAGCGGGGAGGAAGGCGGUGAAGUUAAUAGCUUCACCGAUUGACGUUACCCGCAGAAGAAGCACCGGCUAACUCCGUGCCAGCAGCCGCAGUAA